UGGGGAAUAUUGGACAAUGGGCGAAAGCCUGAUCCAGCAAUGCCGCGUGAGUGAUGAAGGCCUUAGGGUUGUAAAGCUCUUUUACCAGGGAUGAUAAUGACAGUACCUGGAGAAUAAGCUCCGGCUAACUCCGUGCCAGCAGCCGCGGUAAUACGGAGGGAGCUAGCGUUGUUCGGAAUUACUGGGCGUAAAGAGUACGUAGGCGGUGAUUCAAGUCAGAGGUGAAAGCCUGGAGCUCAACUCCAGAACUGCCUUUGAAACUAGGUCGCUAGAAUCACGGAGAGGUGAGUGGAAUUCCGAGUGUAGAGGUGAAAUUCGUAGAUAUUCGGAAGAACACCAGUGGCGAAGGCGGCUCACUGGACGUGUAUUGACGCUGAGGUACGAAAGCGUGGGGAGCAAACAGGAUUAGAUACCCAAGUAGUCCCUGAGCGGGCUGGCAAGGCGCAU
Molecule: ribosomal RNA, 447 nt
Filed under: uncultured bacterium
Lineage: Bacteria
Description: bacterial SSU rRNA
Rfam family: Bacterial small subunit ribosomal RNA
Source: RNAcentral